GACGAACGCUGGCGGCGUGCUUAACACAUGCAAGUCGAGCGGUAAGGCCCUUUCGGGGGUACACGAGCGGCGAACGGGUGAGUAACACGUGGGUGACCUGCCCUCAGCUCUGGGAUAAGCCUGGGAAACCGGGUCUAAUGCCGGAUAUGACUCCAUGACGCAUGUUGUGGGGUGGAAAGCCUUGUGCGGCUGAGGAUGGGCCCGCGGCCUAUCAGCUUGUUGGUGGGGNGAUGGCCUACCAAGGCGACGACGGGUAGCCGGCCUGAGAGGGCGACCGGCCACACUGGGACUGAGACAC
This 298-nucleotide ribosomal RNA is filed under the name uncultured bacterium. RNAcentral's name for it is "partial 16S ribosomal RNA". It matches the Rfam family "Bacterial small subunit ribosomal RNA", at positions 28 to 327 of the family's 1533-position model. The record is from RNAcentral.